UGGAAAGACGUGGACGUGGCCAGGGGAAUACGGAGGGUGCGAGGGGUAAUCGGAAUGACUUGGCGUAAAGCGUGCGCAGGCGGUUGAGUAAGACAUGCGUGAAAUCCCCGGGCUUAACCUGGGAACUGCGCUUGUGACUGGUCAGCUAGAGUACGGCAGAGGGGGGUGGAAUUCCACGUGUAGCAGUGAAAUGCGUAGAGAUGUGGAGGAACACCGAUGGCGAAGGCAGCCCCCUGGGCCGAUACUGACGCUCAUGCACGAAAGCGUGGGUAGCAAACAGGAUUAGAUACCCCAGUGGUC
Molecule: ribosomal RNA, 300 nt
Filed under: uncultured Methylarcula sp.
Lineage: Bacteria; Pseudomonadati; Pseudomonadota; Alphaproteobacteria; Rhodobacterales; Paracoccaceae
Description: bacterial SSU rRNA
Rfam family: Bacterial small subunit ribosomal RNA
Source: RNAcentral